RNAcentral lists this long non-coding RNA (222 nucleotides) under Phoenix dactylifera (date palm). RNAcentral's name for it is "long non-coding RNA (PDAC_LNC006203)". Lineage: Eukaryota; Viridiplantae; Streptophyta; Magnoliopsida; Arecales; Arecaceae. The record is from RNAcentral.
CGGCGAGCCAACCCUUACAGGCGUGGCUGCAGCGUCAUUACCCAGUGUGCCAGGAUUUUCCAUUAAUUAGGAUCCAUUUCUUCCUCUCUAAGUUAAUUAGGAUCCAGUUUUCAGUGGAAGGGGAGAUUUGAAAUGGAGAUUAAAAAAAAAAAAAGUGAAAAGAGUUAGAGAGAGAGAGAGAGAGAGAUUAUGCACAUUUACUGGGUUAGAUUUUUGUCUUUC